GCACUGCUGUCGAGUACCAAAUAGGACGAAACAGCUGUCCAGUGC
Non-coding RNA from Echinostoma caproni, 45 nucleotides. NCBI's taxonomy places the organism in Eukaryota, Metazoa, Platyhelminthes, Trematoda, Plagiorchiida, Echinostomatidae. The record is from Rfam.